GGGCCCGCACAAGCAGUGGAGUAUGUGGUUUAAUUCGAAGCAACGCGAAGAACCUUACCAGGUCUUGACAUCCAACUAACGAAGCAGAGAUGCAUUAGGUGCCCUUCGGGGAAAGUUGAGACAGGUGGUGCAUGGUUGUCGUCAGCUCGUGUCGUGAGAUGUUGGGUUAAGUCCCGCAACGAGCGCAACCCUUAUGAUUAGUUGCUACGCAAGAGCACUCUAAUCAGACUGCCGUUGACAAAACGGAGGAAGGUGGGGACGACGUCAAAUCAUCAUGCCCUUUAUGACCUGGGCUACACACGUACUACAAUGGCUGUUAACAGAGGGACGCGAAACCGCGAGGCGGAGCAAAACCUCAAAAACAGUCUCAGUUCGGAUUGUAGGCUGCAACCCGCCUACAUGAAGUUGGAAUUGCUAGUAAUCGCGGAUCAUCAUGCCGCGGUGAAUACGUUCCCGGGCCUU
Molecule: ribosomal RNA, 462 nt
Filed under: uncultured bacterium
Lineage: Bacteria
Description: bacterial SSU rRNA
Rfam family: Bacterial small subunit ribosomal RNA
Source: RNAcentral